AUGAUGUCACGCGGCAGGACAGUAAUAACCGCCCGCCAGGGAAGAGGCGCGCCGUGCGCCGGGGGAGCGGGCGCUCUGGACGGGCCCGGGGUGACGGCCUCCCCGCGCCAGGGGUUCGAGCCCCUACUGGGGCCCCGGGGGCGGGGUGGGGGGCUCUGUUGGGCAGGCCAUGGCAGCAAGGGUCAGGGACCUCAAGGGUCCUGGGGUCAGCGGCAUCGUGAGGUCACACAGCGCCACGCGGGACCGUCUUCUCUUCAUGGACACAGAAAAGAUGUGAUGGCGCCAAAGGUCCUGACGGCAGAAAGGAAGACAAACACCAGAAACUGCAUCACAGUGAACAUCGAAGCAGGAGCCACAUCAGAAUAGAUACAAGGAGGGGCCGCCAGGGGCCCAGGGUGUGACCCCCGGGUCCCGGGAUCGAGUCCCGCAUCAGGGUCCCCGCAGGGAGCCUGCUUCUCCCUCUGCCUGGGUCUCUGCCUCUCUCUGUGUCUCAUGGAUAAAUGCAUAAAUAAAAUAUUAAAGAGAAAGAAUGAAUACAAGGAGUGGAAUCCAGUGAUGGGGACGCUGUAGCCCAACCUGAGGAAUUCCGAUGCCCAUGUGCACGCGGCCACGCCGUCGGCCCGGAGUGGACAGGACGCCAUCGCAAAGGUGACGGUUUCCCUAGAUUUAUCUGUAGAUUCAGAUCCACGCCGACAACAUCCCGGGGGCGGGGAAGCUGACAACACGGGGACGGAGAGACCGACUUCACCAGCGGCUUCGGAAAGGGACGUGGGGAACAGAAAGCCCAGAGUGGGGCAGACGUGCGUGCGGAGCCAACAGGGGCGCAGUCUCUAGAACCUUCUCCCCGCCGGGGGUGGAGUGGCAGGCGCAGGUGCAGGGAACAGGACACCGUGAGGCGUGAGAGGGCGGGUCCUGCACGGGCCCGGGACGCCACGCGUGUGGCCCGGGGAGCUGGCCCCGCAGCUCUCUGAGGGAAGCUCGGCUUCGCUGGCACGGAGGCCCACGCAGAAGUUCAAUUUGUCUCCGCCUCGCACAGCAACCAGGCUGGGUGGACGCGAGGCCUGCGUGAGGAGACAUCCAGGGACCGUGCAGGGGACCGUCUGAACGACCCCGCGGUAGGAAAAGCUUCCGUAAACACGAGCCCCGAGAGCACCAGCCGCCCGUGACAAGGUUGACGACAUCAUCGACUUAAAACGGCCCCGUGCUUCGGAAGACACCGCGCAGCCGAGACACGGUCACGCGCACGCCCGUGGGAGAGGUGAGAGCCAGCUCGCAAGGCAGGCGCCUGCUGAGCCCUGAGCCGCGCCGAGUCCACGAGAGCACGGAGGGGCCCACAGACGUGGCCGCACGUCCCCCCGCGGGCAGCGCAGGUGUGGGCCCCGGCCCACCGAGUCGCGGGGUGGUGCGGGCUCCCGAGGGGUGCAGAGCACGCGGGCAGCCCUGGAGGCUACCCAGGGGUCCGCCGGCGGCUCGUCGGGCAGCGCACACCGUGGGGUAGGGGCGCCGUCACCCCCGCCCGCGGGAAGGGACCUCAGACAGUGCUCGGGGAAGGAGUCCGUCCCAGACUCGCGGGCGAAGCGGUUCUCCUUGGAGGGAGGUCAGGCGGGCGGCACUUAUUUCGGGAGCCGCUAAAGGGAAGUGGGGAUCCAGCUGCUCCGCUUCCGGGCACACGUCCCCAAGAACGUGAGGCGGUGUGUCACACGCGGUCGACCGCAGCAUCGCUCACGGUGAGCAGGACACGGAGCAGGUGUCCGUCAGCAGAGGGUGGACAACCCAGCCCCAGGGAGGCGUCUGACACCUGCCACCACCUGGGUGGACCCGACGACGUCCUGCGCAGUGGGACCGGCCAGGCGCAGGGACAGACCCUGCCCGAGUCCACUCACACGAGGGCCUAAUGUCACAUUCAUGGGGACGGAGUGGAUGGUGGGCAUCGGGCCUGGCGGGGGGCGUGCGUGUUUCCUGGGCCCAGUGCGCCAGUUGGGAAAGGUGGGAAGGUUCCAGAGAUGGGUGGGGGGACGCCGUGCACCACGUGGUGAUGUCACUGCACCGUGUGCUUAAAAAUGGCUAAGAUGUCAAUCGUGUGUUAUGUGUAUUUUACCACAUUUUUUCAGUUGACGGGAAAAAAGAAAGUGGGGAGUAAUGGUUAAAACAGGUGGAGGUUCUGUGUGGAGGGAGGGCCACAAUCUAGUCCCGGGUGUUUGACUCGUACUUACUUAGAAGCAUGUACUUCAGGGGCCCCCGGGGGGCUCAGCAGGUGAGCACCUGCCUCCGACCCAGGCCAUGACCCCGAGGUCCCGGGAUCGAGCUCUGCGUCGGGCUCCCUGCAUGGAGCCUGCUUCUCUCUCUGCCUCGGUCUUGGCCUCUCUCUCUGGGUCUCUCCUGAAUAAGUAAAUAAAAUUUAAAAGAAAAAAAAGAAAGCAGAUACUUGUACACCCUCGUGUGCGCCGGGACAUUCCAUGGUACACGGUGAGCAGAGCGGGAGCCCACCUUCGCCCUGCGGGAGGCUCUCUGCGGGCUCAGCGCACCGUGAGGUCUCGGGGAGGAAGACGCGGGGACCCAGAGCCGCCUCCUGCCGGGUGCGAGCCCGGGGCUCCUGGGCCGACGGCAGCUGGACCCUCGGCUGCGGACUUGUGAUCUCAAAGGUGGAAGAUUUGCUAGUUUCUCGGAUUUUUGUGAGGCAGUGACAGCGGCCGACACGCAGGAGC
Molecule: long non-coding RNA, 2705 nt
Filed under: Canis lupus familiaris (dog)
Lineage: Eukaryota; Metazoa; Chordata; Mammalia; Carnivora; Canidae
Description: lncRNA (ENSCAFG00000057680.1)
Source: RNAcentral